AGUAAUAUAUCGGAACGUGCCCUGGAGUGGGGGAUAACGUAGCGAAAGUUACGCUAAUACCGCAUACGAUCUACGGAUGAAAUGGGGGAUCGCAAGACCUCAUGCUCGUGGAGCGGCCGAUAUCUGAUUAGCUAGUUGGUAGGGUAAAAGCCUACCAAGGCAUCGAUCAGUAGCUGGUUUGAGAGAACGACCAGCCACACUGGGACUGAGACACGGCCCAG
Molecule: ribosomal RNA, 221 nt
Filed under: uncultured bacterium
Lineage: Bacteria
Description: partial 16S ribosomal RNA
Rfam family: Bacterial small subunit ribosomal RNA
Source: RNAcentral